UACAGAGGGUGCAAGCGUUGUUCGGAAUUAUUGGGCGUAAAGCGCGUGUAGGCGGCCUUGCAAGUCGGGUGUGAAAUCCCUCAGCUCAACUGAGGAAGUGCGCCCGAAACUGCAGAGCUUGAGUCUCGGAGAGGAUGGUAGAAUUCCCCAAGUAGAGGUGAAAUUCGUAGAUAUGGGGAGGAAUACCGGUGGCGAAGGCGGCCAUCUGGACGAGUACUGACGCUGAGACGCGAAAGCGUGGGUAGCAAACAGGAUUAGAUACCCUGGUAGUCCACGCCGUAAACGAUGAGAACUAGGUGUCGUGGGUGUUGACCCCCGCGGUGCCGUCGCUAACGCAUUAAGUUCUCCGCCUGGGAAGUACGGCCGCAAGGCUAAA
RNAcentral lists this ribosomal RNA (376 nucleotides) under uncultured bacterium. Its description in RNAcentral is "bacterial SSU rRNA". It matches the Rfam family "Bacterial small subunit ribosomal RNA", at positions 524 to 898 of the family's 1533-position model. The record is from RNAcentral.